Long non-coding RNA from Danio aesculapii, 832 nucleotides. RefSeq lists it as uncharacterized. Lineage: Eukaryota; Metazoa; Chordata; Actinopteri; Cypriniformes; Danionidae. The record is from RefSeq and is a predicted model, not a curated record. The transcript is spliced from 3 exons.
ACAUGCUCUGCAUUUGCAAAACCUGUUUAGUCGUGAAAAGAUUCAAAAGAAAUCACAUCAUUAUAUUAAUCAAACUAUUUGGAUCUUUAAAGGGAAGACAGAAUGAAUGAUCAGAAUGCAUCUGUGCAAAGCAGUAAUGAUAAGCCUAAAUGUAACUGGAACUGGCCUCUACUGAUUGCAGUGUCUGGCUUAGCAUUGUACCAAUGGUUCACGCAAAGGAGACUGAAAAAUGAGCUUGAUUGCCUGAGGAGAAGCAUUGGGAGAGACAGAAUGGAGGAUAAAGGGAUAGCUGUUAUUCGCGAAAUCCGCAGGUUGCUUUAUGCUAGAGAAGAAAUCGCUUGCAGCUAUCGUCAGCCCCAUAUUACUAUAAGGUUAAUAGAGGAGGAGAUAAAUAUGUUGAUAUCCAAUGACCCUAUAGCACGUCAACUCAAUAUGCAGGCUAAUAUCACCAAAUACAUCCAGCGCUCAGUAUACAGCUCUGUAAAUGACUGUGUUGCAGACUUGCAGAAAAAACUUGAGAGUUUACAAGAAAACCAGCAAAAAUAGAAAGACAUUUCAAUAAACAGUACGUCAGGGCAUGACUGUUCUAGUUUGACACUUGAUUUAUGUUUGUUGUAUAUUAUAUAACGAUUUACAUUUAUGAUUUAUACUUGUUUGGAUUGAUAUUGCUGUGUGAUAUUCAAAUAGUUUCUGUCAUGAUUUGCUGUGUGAGCUAUAACUAAACCAAUAUGACUUCUACUGUUGGUAUACUGUAGAAAUCUGUUUUAACACUGUAUUUAACUGUCGGGUAUCUUUAUCUUGCAUGUUCUGUCUGUCUUUUAGUUAAUAAAUU